AACCAAGCCCCUGUCUACCUCAUCAUCAUCAUUCGGUCCUCAGUCACUUCAGUACUUUUCACCAUCUGACUCAUCGAGGCUCUUCAUGCUGUAAAGCAGUUCGACUUCUCCAGGAAACAGAGUCAGGCAGAGCUUAGAGUUCCGGAUGUUUAUCAGGGAGUGGUGCUUGAGUCAACACCCGUGCAAAGGACCGGGCUGAGGCAGAAUUGGGAAGAGGGAGAAAUCCAGCUGAGAUGCAAGCCAGACAGUGCCAGCCAACAGCACAGGGUGCUCAGAAACUUGAAACAGAACACAGAGGAGUUGACAAUUCAGCAGUACUGAUCUACUUGUAGCUUACAGACCCUCUGAGUGGUCAUGCUGAUCCAGAUCCAGUGCUUGAGUUGGUCCACCCCAACAUCUACUCCAUCUAAGAGCUGCUGGAACCGGUGGAGGAGCUGGUGAUACAAAACCAGAUUCAGGAACAAGUCAUCUACACUGAGGAUUAAAACCUGAAGCGUGGCUGUGAUGGAGGCUAGCACCUGCCACUGUGGAGCAGCCCCGAGGAGCCUAAAAGAUCCAUGCAGUUUCCGAGGGGAGACAAAGCACUAGCAGAGGAGUCUGCAGAGAUGACAGUGUCCAUGGGAAGAUGCUUUUUAAAAGUAGACUUGUGAAAUUGGAAGGAAAGAUGGCAGAACAGAGCCAGAUGCAUGGAAUAGAAUGGCCAAACUACAAAGGGCAAUGCCAUGGUCCAGGCUGUAGCCAGAGAGACAAUGAAUUUUUUUUUUUUUCAGUGUGGUAUUGAUGACUGCAAACUCACAUCUGAGAAUUAAAGACAUAGAAGGCUUUUGUGACAACCUCCAACAAAACAGUCUAGACAGUUAUUGAAGAGAACUCUUAAAAAAUGUGAUAAGGAUGCUGAAGAGUGGCUCUUCACAGUUCAUGGCUUCUGGUGGGGGUUGGGUAGGAGAAGGAAUCUGUUAUCUUCAAGGGGUUGGAUACUUGGAUUUUGACUGCAUCAGUAAAUAUAUUGGCAA
Molecule: non-coding RNA, 1013 nt
Organism: Cricetulus griseus (Chinese hamster)
Lineage: Eukaryota; Metazoa; Chordata; Mammalia; Rodentia; Cricetidae
Source: RefSeq, a predicted model, not a curated record